CUGUGACGCGUUUGGGUUAUGAAAAUGCAUUUUGAGGAUAUGGGCGCUGAAGUCACGAAGAGUUUAUUUAUUUGUUGUUGAGAUGUUCUGUAUUGCUUCAGAUUAUUAUUUUUGUACCCUCGCCUUUAUCUUGAUUUAUUUUGUAAGAGGGGUAGGAAUUGUAUUAGAUAAUGCUUGUGAUAUUAUUUAUAUCUAUGUAU
This is a non-coding RNA of Arachis ipaensis, 200 nucleotides long. The record is from RefSeq and is a predicted model, not a curated record. NCBI's taxonomy places the organism in Eukaryota, Viridiplantae, Streptophyta, Magnoliopsida, Fabales, Fabaceae.